Molecule: transfer RNA, 88 nt
Filed under: Geobacter hydrogenophilus
Lineage: Bacteria; Pseudomonadati; Thermodesulfobacteriota; Desulfuromonadia; Geobacterales; Geobacteraceae
Also listed under: 4 other names
Description: tRNA-Ser
Rfam family: tRNA
About the family: Transfer RNA (tRNA) molecules are approximately 80 nucleotides in length. Their secondary structure includes four short double-helical elements and three loops (D, anti-codon, and T loops). Further hydrogen bonds mediate the characteristic L-shaped molecular structure. tRNAs have two regions of fundamental functional importance: the anti-codon, which is responsible for specific mRNA codon recognition, and the 3' end, to which the tRNAs corresponding amino acid is attached (by aminoacyl-tRNA synthetases). tRNAs cope with the degeneracy of the genetic code in two manners: having more than one tRNA (with a specific anti-codon) for a particular amino acid; and 'wobble' base-pairing, i.e. permitting non-standard base-pairing at the 3rd anti-codon position.
Source: RNAcentral
GGAGAGAUGUCCGAGAGGUCGAAGGAGCACGACUGGAAAUCGUGUGUACUGCAAGGUACCGAGGGUUCGAAUCCCUCUCUCUCCGCCA